This 465-nucleotide ribosomal RNA is filed under the name Vreelandella stevensii. RNAcentral describes it as "partial 16S ribosomal RNA". It matches the Rfam family "Bacterial small subunit ribosomal RNA", at positions 338 to 795 of the family's 1533-position model. Lineage: Bacteria; Pseudomonadati; Pseudomonadota; Gammaproteobacteria; Oceanospirillales; Halomonadaceae. The record is from RNAcentral.
CCUACGGGAGGCUGCAGUGGGGAAUAUUGGACAAUGGGGGGAACCCUGAUCCAGCCAUGCCGCGUGUGUGAAGAAGGCCCUCGGGUUGUAAAGCACUUUCAGUGAGGAAGAACGCCUGGUGGUUAAUACCCAUCAGGAAAGACAUCACUCACAGAAGAAGCACCGGCUAACUCCGUGCCAGCAGCCGCGGUAAUACGGAGGGUGCGAGCGUUAAUCGGAAUUACUGGGCGUAAAGCGCGCGUAGGUGGCUUGAUAAGCCGGUUGUGAAAGCCCCGGGCUCAACCUGGGAACGGCAUCCGGAACUGUCAGGCUAGAGUGCAGGAGAGGAAGGUAGAAUUCCCGGUGUAGCGGUGAAAUGCGUAGAGAUCGGGAGGAAUACCAGUGGCGAAGGCGGCCUUCUGGACUGACACUGACACUGAGGUGCGAAAGCGUGGGUAGCAAACAGGAUUAGAUACCCUGGUAGUC